RNAcentral lists this ribosomal RNA (508 nucleotides) under uncultured Desulfobulbus sp. RNAcentral describes it as "bacterial SSU rRNA". It matches the Rfam family "Bacterial small subunit ribosomal RNA", at positions 903 to 1382 of the family's 1533-position model. Lineage: Bacteria; Pseudomonadati; Thermodesulfobacteriota; Desulfobulbia; Desulfobulbales; Desulfobulbaceae. The record is from RNAcentral.
CGCCACGCCCGCUCAAGAAACUUAAAGGAAUUGACGGGGGCCCGCACAAGCGGUGGAGUAUGUGGUUUAAUUCGAUGCAACGCGAAGAACCUUACCUGGUCUUGACAUCCCGGAGACCCUUAGGAAACUAGGGGGUGCUUCCAUCUGGAAGAAUCUGGAGACAGGUGCUGCAUGGCUGUCGUCAGCUCGUGUCGUGAAAUGUUGGGUUAAGUCCCGCAACGAGCGCAACCCUUGCCUUUAGUUGCCAGCAGUUCGGCUGGGCACUCUAAAGGGACUGCCGGUGUUAAACCGGAGGAAGGUGGGGAUGACGUCAAGUCCUCAUGGCCUUUAUGACCAGGGCUACACACGUACUACAAUGGCCGAUACAAAGGGCAGCGACACUGCGAGGUGAAGCCAAUCCCGUAAAAUCGGUCUCAGUCCGGAUUGGAGUCUGCAACUCGACUCCAUGAAGUUGGAAUCGCUAGUAAUCGUGGAUCAGCAUGCCACGGUGAAUACGUUCCCGGGCCUU